GGCCAGACUCCUACGGGAGGCAGCAGUAGGGAAUUUUGCGCAAUGGGGGAAACCCUGACGCAGCAACACCGCGUGAAUGUUAAGCCCUUCGGGGUGUAAAGUUCUGUCAAUAGGGACGAAUUUUGACUGUACCUAUAAAGGAAGCACCGGCUAACUCCGUGCCAGCAGCCGCGGUAAUACGUAGGAUCCGAGCAUUAUCCGGAGUGACUGGGUGUAAAGAGUUGCGUAGGUGGCAUAGUAAGUAGCUAGUGAAAUCUGGUGGCUCAACCAUUCAGACUAUUAGCUAAACUGCUAAGCUCGAGACCGUUAGGGGUAACUGGAAUUUCUAGUGUAGGAGUGAAAUCCGUAGAUAUUAGAAGGAACACCGAUAGCGUAGGCAGGUUACUGGGACGGUUCUGACACUAAGGCACGAAAGCGUAGGGAGCAAACGGGAUUAGAUACCCCGGUA
This 448-nucleotide ribosomal RNA is filed under the name uncultured bacterium. Its description in RNAcentral is "partial 16S ribosomal RNA". It matches the Rfam family "Bacterial small subunit ribosomal RNA", at positions 329 to 792 of the family's 1533-position model. The record is from RNAcentral.